This 537-nucleotide ribosomal RNA is filed under the name uncultured Mycobacterium sp. Its description in RNAcentral is "bacterial SSU rRNA". It matches the Rfam family "Bacterial small subunit ribosomal RNA", at positions 54 to 606 of the family's 1533-position model. Lineage: Bacteria; Bacillati; Actinomycetota; Actinomycetes; Mycobacteriales; Mycobacteriaceae. The record is from RNAcentral.
CAUGCAAGUCGAACGGAAAGGCCCUUCGGGGUACUCGAGUGGCGAACGGGUGAGUAACACGUGGGUGAUCUGCCCUGCACUUUGGGAUAAGCCUGGGAAACUGGGUCUAAUACCGAAUACACCCUUCUGGCUGCAUGGUCCGGGAGGGGAAAGCUUUUGCGGUGUGGGAUGGGCCCGCGGCCUAUCAGCUUGUUGGUGAGGUUACGGCUCACCAAGGCGACGACGGGUAGCCGGCCUGAGAGGGUGACCGGCCACACUGGGACUGAGAUACGGCCCAGACUCCUACGGGAGGCAGCAGUGGGGAAUAUUGCACAAUGGGCGCAAGCCUGAUGCAGCGACGCCGCGUGAGGGAUGACGGCCUUCGGGUUGUAAACCUCUUUCGCCAGGGACGAAGCGCAAGUGACGGUACCUGGAGAAGAAGGACCGGCCAACUACGUGCCAGCAGCCGCGGUAAUACGUAGGGUCCGAGCGUUGUCCGGAAUUACUGGGCGUAAAGAGCUCGUAGGUGGUUUGUCGCGUUGUUCGUGAAAACUCACA